Molecule: ribosomal RNA, 253 nt
Filed under: uncultured prokaryote
Description: partial 16S ribosomal RNA
Rfam family: Bacterial small subunit ribosomal RNA
Source: RNAcentral
UACGGAGGGUGCAAGCGUUGCUCGGAAUUAUUGGGCGUAAAGCGCACGCAGGCGGCAGGGUAAGUCAGUUGUGAAACUCCCGGGCUUAACUUGGGAACUGCAGCUGAUACUGUCCUGCUUGAGUACGGAAGAGGGGAGCGGAAUUCCCAGUGUAGAGGUGAAAUUCGUAGAUAUUGGGAGGAACACCGGUGGCGAAAGCGGCUCCCUGGUCCGAUACUGACGCUCAUGUGCGAAAGCGUGGGGAGCAAACAGG